Molecule: transfer RNA, 62 nt
Filed under: Gondogeneia antarctica
Lineage: Eukaryota; Metazoa; Arthropoda; Malacostraca; Amphipoda; Pontogeneiidae
Description: tRNA-Ala
Source: RNAcentral
UAAGGAGGUAGUUUAACUAAAACAUUUAAUUUGCACUUAAAAAAUACCAAAGUUCUCCUUAA